AACGAACGCUGGCGGCAUGCCUAACACAUGCCAGUCGAACGAGACCUUCGGGUCUAGUGGCGCACGGGUGCGUAACGCGUGGGAACCUGCCCUUAGGUUCGGAAUAACUCCCCGAAAGGGGUGCUAAUACCGGAUAAUGUCUUCGGACCAAAGAUUUAUCGCCUUUGGAUGGGCCCGCGUUGGAUUAGCUAGUUGGUAGGGUAAAAGCCUACCAAGGCGACGAUCCAUAGCUGGUCUGAGAGGAUGAUCAGCCACACUGGGACUGAGACACGGCCCAGACUCCUACGGGAGGCAGCAGUGGGGAAUAUUGGACAAUGGGCGAAAGCCUGAUCCAGCAAUGCCGCGUGAGGGAUGAAGGCCUUAGGGUUGUAAAGCUCUUUUACCCGGGAUGAUAAUGACAGUACCGGGAGAAUAAGCUCCGGCUAACUCCGUG
This 433-nucleotide ribosomal RNA is filed under the name uncultured bacterium. Its description in RNAcentral is "partial 16S ribosomal RNA". It matches the Rfam family "Bacterial small subunit ribosomal RNA", at positions 29 to 507 of the family's 1533-position model. The record is from RNAcentral.